AAGUCGUAACAAGGUCUCCGUAGGUGAACCUGCGGAGGGAUCAUUACUGAGUGAGGGCUCGCGCCCGACCUCCAACCCUUUGUGAACCAAAUCCUGUUGCUUCGGGGGCGACCCUGCCGGCACACCGUCGCCGGGCGCCCCCGGAGGUCUUCAAACACUGCAUCUUUGCGUCGGAGUUUAAAUCAAAUUAAACAAAACUUUCAACAACGGAUCUCUUGGUUCUG
This 224-nucleotide unclassified non-coding RNA is filed under the name Pseudocercospora vitis. RNAcentral's name for it is "partial internal transcribed spacer region". The stretch from base 1 to 46 matches the Rfam family "Eukaryotic small subunit ribosomal RNA", at positions 1786 to 1831 of the family's 1831-position model. The record is from RNAcentral. Lineage: Eukaryota; Fungi; Ascomycota; Dothideomycetes; Mycosphaerellales; Mycosphaerellaceae.